This 319-nucleotide ribosomal RNA is filed under the name uncultured eukaryote. Its description in RNAcentral is "partial 18S ribosomal RNA". It matches the Rfam family "Eukaryotic small subunit ribosomal RNA", at positions 1470 to 1796 of the family's 1831-position model. The record is from RNAcentral.
CCCGUAGAUAUUCUGGACUGCACGUGUGCUACACUGAUGCGCUCAGCGAGUUUUUUUGCCUGGAAAGGUAAAGUGAAUUCUUAAUACGCAUCGUGACUGGCAUAGAUUAUUGUAAUUAUUAGUCUCCAACAAGGAAUUCCUAGUAAGCGCGUGUCGUCAACUCGCGCUGAUUACGUCACUGCCGUUUGUACACACCGCCCGUCGCUCCUACCGAUUGGGUGAUUCGGUGAACUUCUCUGCGCAUGAUACGCACAGUUUCUGUUGUGUUCUAUGCUUGUUUUGUGAACCGCAUCACUUAGAGGAAGGAGAAGUCGUAACA